AGCAUCGGGCGUCCUCCUGUCUUUGCAGGGCUGACCCUGAGGAAGUGUGGUCCGUCGGUCGAUAGCAUGAAUAUAUAUAUAUUUUGUGGGUGCACAAAUCCUUUUCAGAGUGUCAGAGGAUAAGGGUUUUGUUCUGUUCAGCGUAAACAUUGUUCUGUUUGGUGUAUUUGUCGAAGACGAGAGUUUAGUGGGGGAGGUAGUCAGCUCUCUGGCUGGUUUGAGGUGGGCUAUACGUGUUUGUCGGUCACCUCUCACCUGCCAGUUGUUUUGAACUAGUUUUAUCUGGUUUUCCUUGGGAGUCACAAGGGGUUUGGGGCUCCCCGGUGGCGGGUGCUGUGGCCAAAAGAGAGAGCAGGGUCACAGAGUGCUUCAUUUAUGGGGCUGGCCUCGGCCAUCUCCUGCACAAACUUCUGGUAUGUAGCGAUCGGGAUUUGAUUUCCUGAAGGAGAGGAUGAUGGAGCUCAUCAUAAGAGCAUAAUCAUUUUCUCUUCCUUUGGCAGUACGGGCACCCGAGGGCCAGCCUGCUUUUGAGGAACAGCAUGAGGAUGUCGGUGUCGAUGCUCAGCAGUGGAAGGAAGCUUCUUUUGGAGGCCAAGAAGAUGAAGUGGAGUGUGUAUUUGUUGUGUUUGAUUUUCAUUGCGGGGAUGGGGAGGGGUGGGACAUGGAAAACGUGGUCCCAGGCAGGGGAGGUGUCUAUGAUGUGGGAGGCCGUGAGAGAGAUCAUGGACGCUGCUGGACAGGCGUUAGAACCCGUUGCUCAGGUUGGACGGACCCGGCAGAACCACCGCACCAUCUUAAAAGUGGGCCCGGCAUUGAAGGUGACGGUUCCCCAGCCAUCGGGGAUGGACCGAGUACGUGAGCAGGCGCCUGACGCGGCCACUGACCCGGGAGGCACGGAUCGGGAGGUGAGGGAGCCGUGUUGGCAUGGUAGGGGAAAGGAUGAGUCUGGAAUGUGGCUGUUGGUGGAGAUGCACGGCAGGGAGCCGGACACGGGAGGGAGGGGGCGAACAGAGCAUCGUGAGAAGGUAGGUCAGCACGUGACAACGGAGGGGUCGUGCAGUGCGAGCACCUAUGUGACUAGUUAACGAAGGGACUCACAAAACUACAUGCAAAGCGGGAUGUCUGCCCCCAGCUCGUCGGGCAAGGUGAGCGAUGAACAGGAAACCGUAGCAGCGGUUAUUUUUGAGGUGUGGAAUUGUUUGUGAGCGGGCGGCCGCUUCCAGGCGCAGCGGUCACCUUGUCUCUCUGGUUCUCUAGGCGCCGUAGGUGGCGGCGGCCACGACAUCCAGCCUCAUUAGAGCGUGGGCGAGCGGAAGUUCACGGCGCUUCCGAGGAGGCUGUCGUUGCGGAAGUGGCCGGCGUUGAGUGGUGCGACGCUGAGUGAUGGCACCGCACGUUUGGAGAUGAAGAGUGUCCGUGUGACCGCAGCCCCAUCCUACGUAGCCUGUGUGGCCUUUUUAAAGGAUGGCUUUUGAGCCCCCGGAUUUGGAAGGGAAGCUGAGGGGCCGAUGCGGUCUUUGUGCGGGUGGCCGGUCGGUUGGGGGAAGCGCAGGUGGGGCAGGCAGGGGUUGUCAAAUCAGUGGAGGGGACUGUUCAGAGACCGGACACGUUUGGGCCGAGAGAGGUUGUGUUGUCCUUUCUGCAAAACAGAAGCAUCUGCCAGGCAGGGGAGUUCCUGCCUGUGCUUGUGCUGUUGUGUGGAUUUUGUAGUCUGUCUUUGUUCCUUACUGUACUCGGGUCUCGAUGUGUCUGUUGUUCUCCGUGCUGAGCAGGCACCUAGGUAGCAAUAUUGAGGGUUUUGCAAGCCCUGGCUCAUCGGCAUAAUGGUAACCGAGAGCUUCCUUUCUCGCAUUUUAAGUCUACUGCAUAGAUUUGUCUUGUGUCUUAAAUAUUAGACCUUUAUAGAAGGUCGUCUUUUUGCGGCGGUGGUUAAGGCGGCCUCAGUUCUGCUGCUGAAGAGCAGUCUGAAUACGCAGGGCCCUUUUCUGGGACCUGUUCCCUGCACCUGAACGUUCUGAGGUCUUUAAGAGCGGCUCGUCGCUCGUGCAUCGUCCUAGUUGUGGGUAUAUGGUUUUUUCGCAGGUGAUGAUGGUACGUGACAUCUCCGCGGAUGCUAUAGCUGCUUCCUCGCUGCCCUGCAGAUCUUCUCGCCCGGUGGCAUCUCUGGGCCAGAAGUCCGUGGUCUCGAGGAUGAAGAUGGAGCUGUGCAGGGUGAUAGAGCAGAGCUGAGUAGAGCACACUAAGGCGGCGGGUCCGUGUGCAGGAUUAAAGGGAAGAUGCGACUGAAGGCUAUUUGAGGAGCAUUUCAGGUUAUAGUCGGUCUUCAGGAACCGUUAAGGUACUGCUGUGCAACCAGGCGACUUGUUUGGUAUUGGUUUUGGAGAUGCCGAGGGACGAGUCGUGCAGGGCGAUGGAGGGGAACUGAGGGGACCGAUGUAAGCGGGUGAGUUGGUGCGUGGUGUAUAUAGAGGGAAGAUGUGACCGAUGGCUCUAUGACUCCGUUGCUCCUUGCGUUUGUCUUUUGUUUUGGGUUUGAAGUAGCGUAGCAAUGAGCAAAGGAAGCAAGGCGAGUGGUGAUUGGUGGGCUGAAGUAGCAGCUCUUUUCUGAGGUGUUGUGUUGCUGGGGAAGUUAUAAGCAACGCGCGUUGUUCGGGUGUUACGGACGGCGGGCGAGCUGGACACGGCACCUGGAAGUGGCGUAGGCUGGGAGGGAGGCUGUCGAGGGAAAGGGGUGCGAGACGGGGAUCGGUGCGGGCAGGCUGUGGCAUCGGGCAGCAUCUCGGGAGGUGCCUUUUCGCUUGGCUUU
Phalacrocorax carbo (great cormorant) is the source of this 2806-nucleotide non-coding RNA. The record is from RefSeq and is a predicted model, not a curated record. Lineage: Eukaryota; Metazoa; Chordata; Aves; Suliformes; Phalacrocoracidae.